UCAACAUCCCAAUUAGGGUCAAAUCAAUGGCUUAUCACUACCCAUUACAUGUUAACCCAUAAUCCCCAUUAAACGACGAUAAACCCCCUUUACCUUAUUAUUUUGGAUCGAAGGUUGCUCUAAGAAUCGGAUUCCGGAAGUUUUCUUCUCCUUCCCUCUCGUUCGUACAACAGUUCUCAAAUUCCUCUUCUGCUAACUUCUUUCCACUACUGUUUUUUUUUCCAUCACUUCUUUUCUUUUCUCUUUAUUAAAUUAACUAAAUAUCCUAAUCUCUAAUGGGCCUAAUAUAACACCUCUCAUUUUACUAAUUAGCACACAAUGAUAA
RNAcentral lists this long non-coding RNA (325 nucleotides) under Lathyrus oleraceus (garden pea). RNAcentral describes it as "Pisum sativum (pea) long non-coding RNA (PSAT_LNC012285)". The record is from RNAcentral. Lineage: Eukaryota; Viridiplantae; Streptophyta; Magnoliopsida; Fabales; Fabaceae.